Molecule: transfer RNA, 81 nt
Filed under: Vibrio vulnificus
Lineage: Bacteria; Pseudomonadati; Pseudomonadota; Gammaproteobacteria; Vibrionales; Vibrionaceae
Also listed under: 1 other name
Description: tRNA-Leu
Rfam family: tRNA
About the family: Transfer RNA (tRNA) molecules are approximately 80 nucleotides in length. Their secondary structure includes four short double-helical elements and three loops (D, anti-codon, and T loops). Further hydrogen bonds mediate the characteristic L-shaped molecular structure. tRNAs have two regions of fundamental functional importance: the anti-codon, which is responsible for specific mRNA codon recognition, and the 3' end, to which the tRNAs corresponding amino acid is attached (by aminoacyl-tRNA synthetases). tRNAs cope with the degeneracy of the genetic code in two manners: having more than one tRNA (with a specific anti-codon) for a particular amino acid; and 'wobble' base-pairing, i.e. permitting non-standard base-pairing at the 3rd anti-codon position.
Source: RNAcentral
GCGGAAGUGGCGAAAUUGGUAGACGCACCAGAUUUAGGUUCUGGCGCCGCAAGGUGUGAGAGUUCGAGUCUCUCCUUCCGC